This 290-nucleotide small nuclear RNA is filed under the name Octodon degus (degu). RNAcentral describes it as "7SK RNA (ENSODEG00000023047.1)". It matches the Rfam family "7SK RNA". Rfam says of the family: 7SK was discovered as an abundant small nuclear RNA in the mid-70s but a possible function has only recently been suggested. Two independent studies have found that 7SK RNA binds the CDK9/cyclin T complex (known as elongation factor P-TEFb). P-TEFb activates transcription by phosphorylating the C-terminal domain of RNA polymerase II. The record is from Rfam by way of RNAcentral. Lineage: Eukaryota; Metazoa; Chordata; Mammalia; Rodentia; Octodontidae.
UGAUGUGAGGGUGAUCUGGCUGUGCCAUCUGUGACACCAUUAAUGCCCACGGUUCAGCUGAUCUGGCUGGCUAGGCAGGGGUCCCUUUUGUCCCUCAGUGCUUCAUGUGUGCCCCACCCGAAGCUACACCCUCAGUCACAGAGGACGACCACUUCCCAGUAGAGGAGGGCUCUGUUACCUCAGUCAAGGAAGGAACACAACUAGUUGUGAUCCUCUGCUAUAGUUAAGAAAACUGGGUGAACUUGUUGUAGUCAUAUGAGUCCACAGAAAGCGAGUGGUAGACCUUUUUU